RNAcentral lists this long non-coding RNA (201 nucleotides) under Mustela putorius furo (domestic ferret). Its description in RNAcentral is "lncRNA (ENSMPUG00000028131.1)". Lineage: Eukaryota; Metazoa; Chordata; Mammalia; Carnivora; Mustelidae. The record is from RNAcentral.
AAGGAGCUUGUCCUAGUUCCCACAGCUACUAAGGGAUGGACCUGGGUGGCCAGCUGAGCCAAUGGGCCUUGGAAAUUCUAAAGUCAAAUGCCUCCAGGGGCCAGGCAGUUUACCAUGGUUUGCCAGAGGCCACAUGGUGGAGCAGGACCCUGGGAGCACCUAUCCCACAGCAGAGAAGCCCCGCAGAUGCCAAGAGACAGC